Molecule: unclassified non-coding RNA, 2430 nt
Filed under: Leishmania donovani
Lineage: Eukaryota; Euglenozoa; Kinetoplastea; Trypanosomatida; Trypanosomatidae
Description: gene:LdHU3.20.0750(CDS-product:cytidine_triphosph ate_synthase_putative)
Source: RNAcentral
AGAGUCCUCUCUCACUCUUGCACUCUCACAGCCAUCGCAUAAAACGGAACCAGCUGAACAACCAGAGGACACAUAAGCAAGCCCAUCGAGUGACGUGCUAGCGUAUUGUCCUUACUCGUCCCUCGACGUUUCGUUGUCGCCGUCGAUUCUUUGCUUCUCGUCGUGUGUGCGUGUGCGCGCGUGCUCCUCGUGUUCCGCUGAGCUACAGAACUAGCAAGGGCGUCUUUGGCUUGUCAUUGUUAAUCAUGGAGGAGCGCAAGACCGCGUCGGGGAGUGCGUACUACCUCCCUUCGCCGCUGCUGCUGUCGCAGAACCAGGGUGAGGAGCGGGUGAAGUUUGUUGUGGUGAGCGGUGGCGUGUGCAGCUCCCUCGGCAAGGGUGUCACGACCAGUGCCAUCGGUGCCCUGCUGCACGCUUCCGGCUACCGUGUGUGCAGCAUCAAGAUCGACCCUUACAUCAACAUUGACGCAGGUCUCAUGAGCCCGUAUGAACAUGGUGAAGUCUACGUGCUGGAGGACGGCGGUGAGGCGGACCUCGACCUCGGCAACUACGAGCGCUGGAUGUCGGUGCACCUGACCCGCGACCACAACAUCACAACUGGCAAGGUGUACCAGAAGCUGCUAACGAAGGAGCGCGCCGGAGGUUUUUUGGGCAAGACCGUGCAGCUUGUCCCGCACUUCACGAACGAGGUUGUGAACCACAUCUUCAAGAUCUGUCAGACACCCAUGAGCGGCUCAAACAAGCGGCCGGAGAUUUGCAUGAUUGAGCUGGGCGGCACGGUAGGCGACAUGGAAUCGCAGCCCUUUGUCGAGGCACUGCGCCGGCUGCGCUACUCUAUUCUGCCAGAGGACUUCUGCCUCCUGCACACGACGUACCUUCCGGUGUUUGGAGGGACGCAGAAAACGAAGCCGACGCAGCACAGCUGCCGCGCGCUGCUCUCCCUGGGCCUGCAACCCGACUUUCUCGUGUGCCGCAGCGAGCAGCCUUUGGCUGCGGAUGUGAAAGCGAAACUGUCGGACCAGUGCGGCGUUCAGAGCAAGGACAUCAUCGGCGCCCCCGACGUGAACUGCCUCUACCAGAUUCCCGUCAAGUUUGUGGAUCAGGGUUUGAUCGAUCGCCUCUUGCACAAGUUGCGCCUGCGGCCAAACAUGCCGCCCACGGACGCGCCGACCUAUCAAACCUUCAAAAAGUUCUCGGAUAUUCUGCAGAACCCGAACAACCAGAAGGUCCGCAUCGCCUUUGUCGGCAAGUACGUGACAGGCGGGUCGGACGCGUACUUCUCUGUGCUUCAGUGCUUCGAGCACUGCCAGCUUGCCCUCGGCAUCAACGUCGAGGUCUUCUACCUGGAGAGCGAGCAGCUGGAGGGCGAAAACGCCGAGGAGGCAAAGGCGGCGCUGCUCGAGUGCGACGGCAUCUUCGUCCCUGGCGGCUUCGGUGUUCGCGGCAUCGACGGUAAGGUGAACGCGGUGCGGCUGGCUCGCGAGCACAACAUCCCGUAUUUUGGCGUCUGCCUGGGCAUGCAGGUCGCCCUCAUCGAGUUUGCCCGCAGCCUACUCGGCUGGGAGGACGCGAACAGCGAGGAGUUCGACGCCUCCAGCACACGCCAAGUGGUGCGCAUCAUGGACGCCGACCGAGAGCGCAUGGGUGCCAACAUGCACCUUGGCGCUCGUGAAGUGCACAUUGUGGAGCCGCACUCGCGCAUGAGCACCAUCUACUCCGGCGCCAAGGUUGUGCUAGAACGCCACCGCCACCGCUAUGAGGUGCACGGCAAAUACCUGAAUGAUCUACGCAAACAAGGCCUCGUCAUCUCCGCCGUCUCAGACCCCGACGCCGGCGAGAACCUGCGUGUCGAGGCCAUUGAAAAUCCGUCGCUCAAGUUUUUCCUUGCCGUGCAGUUCCACCCCGAGUUCGUCUCCACCCCGCUCGACCCCUCGCCGCCGUAUCUUGCCUUCUUCGCAGCGGCGGCUGGCAAGGAGGUGAAUUGGCCCGCGGAGUGCACCGCGCGCCGCCUGCCCGCCUCGGCCCAAUCGAGCCAAGCGUGCAGGUAGCGUCUCGAUGGGGGCGCAGAGGGGCAGGGUGGGGCGGCGUUCCUGUUGAACGUGCUUUGGUGGUGGUAUUGGGGGAGUGGAUGGCCGCCCCUGCUUUUGUGCGGCUGAAGAGCGGCGGCGUGGGGUAGGGAGCCAACAAAACCCCUGACGUCGACAGACAGCGAGACACGAAGAAGGACUUCGAGGCGCGCUCCGUGAAGGGCCGUGCGUGUGCGUGUGUGUAUCUGUGUGUGUGUGGCUCUCUCUCCCUCUUCGUGGGUACGCCUAUCGGUGAUCUGCGAACAUGUGCGGGGCCAUUGCACACGCCGAUGUGCCUCCCUCCUCCUCGUCCUCCUCCUCCUCCCGGGGCAGCGCACGCCGCAAAGGCAACGGACGAAAGAGC